GGGGGUAAAUUAAUUAAUUAUUAAUAAUAAAAAAAAUUUUAUUUAUAUUUUAAUGGGGGUUAAAGUAUAAAGAUAAAAAAAAUUUUUAAUUUAAUAGUAAAGUAGUAUUGUGAAAGAAUUUUGAAAUAUUUGAAAUAAAAUUAAUAAUAAAGUAGAUUUAAUUUAUUGUAUCUUGUGUAUCAGAGUUUAUUAAUAAAUUUAUUUAAUAUGAAAAAAUAAUCUCGAAUUUAAAAGAGUUAAUUAAUUAUAAGAUUUAUUGUUUCAUAAAUAUUUUAAAUAAUUAAUUUGAAAUGAAAUGUUAAUCGUUUUUAAAUAUAUCUAGUUUUUUUAGAAAUAAAUUUAAUUUAGAAUUUUUUUUAAAAAAAAUUAUUUAUUUUUAAUUUUUUUUUAUAAAAAAUUUAAUAUUUUAAGGGAUAAUCUUUAAAUUAAAAUGUUAUAAAUAGAUAAAUUUUCUCUAAUUAAAAUUUUUAAAAUUUAUAUUGUUUAUAAAUUAUAUUUUUUUAUAAAAAAUUUUAUUUUAAAAAAAAUUUUUAAUUAUUUUUAAUUUUUUAUAAAAAAAUAAUUUAAAAUAAAUUAAAAUUAAUUAUAAUGAUAAAAUUAGUAUAAUUUAUAUGAUUAAUAAAUUAAUAAUUUUAAUUUAUAAAAUAAAUUGAUUUAAUUUAUUAAUUAAAUUAAAAUAUAAUAUUUUAAAAUAAAAUUAAUAAUAAAAAAAAAGGAAUUCGGCAAUUAUACUUAUUCACUUGUUUAUCAAAAACAUGUCUUUUUGUUUAUAAUUUAAAGUCGAAUCUGCCCACUGAUAUUAAUUAAAGGGCUGCAGUAUAUUGACUGUACAAAGGUAGCAUAAUCAUUAGUCUUUUAAUUGAAGACUUGUAUGAAGGAUUUGAUGAAAUAAGAACUGUCUCUUUUUUUUAUUUAGAAUUUAAUUUUUUAGUAAAAAAGCUAAAAUAAUUUUAAAAGACGAGAAGACCCUAUAGAGUUUUAUAUUUAAUAUAAUUUAAAUUUUAUAUGAAUUUUUUAAUGAAAAUUAAAUUAAGUAUUUUAUUGGGGUGAUAGAAAAAUUUAAUUAACUUUUUUUAAAUGUAUACAUUAAUUUAUGAUAUUUUGAUCCAUAAUUUAUGAUUAAAAGAAAAAAUUACCUUAGGGAUAACAGCGUAAUUUUUUUUUUUAGUUCAAAUAAGAAAAAGAGUUUGCGACCUCGAUGUUGGAUUAAGAUAAAAUUUAAAUGUAGAUGUUUAAAAUUUUGAUCUGUUCGAUCAUUAAAAUCUUACAUGAUCUGAGUUCAAACCGGUGUAAGCCAGGUUGGUUUCUAUCUUUAAAUAAAUAAAAUAUUUUAGUACGAAAGGAUUAAAUAUUUAAAAUAAAUUUUAAAUUAAAGAAUUUUAUUAAUA
This 1388-nucleotide ribosomal RNA is filed under the name Rachelia extrusa (blue flash skipper). Its description in RNAcentral is "16S ribosomal RNA". Lineage: Eukaryota; Metazoa; Arthropoda; Insecta; Lepidoptera; Hesperiidae. The record is from RNAcentral.